AGAGUUUGAUCAUGGCUCAGAUUGAACGCUGGCGGCAUGCUUUACACAUGCAAGUCGAACGGCAGCACGGGGGCAACCCUGGUGGCGAGUGGCGAACGGGUGAGUAAUAUAUCGGAACGUACCCGGAAAUGGGGGAUAACGUAGCGAAAGUUACGCUAAUACCGCAUAUGCCCUGAGGGGGAAAGCGGGGGAUUCGCAAGAACCUCGCGUUUUCGGAGCGGCCGAUAUCGGAUUAGCUAGUAGGUGAGGUAAAGGCUCACCUAGGCGACGAUCCGUAGCUGGUCUGAGAGGACGACCAGCCACACUGGAACUGAGACACGGUCCAGACUCCUACGGGAGGCAGCAGUGGGGAAUUUUGGACAAUGGGCGCAAGCCUGAUCCAGCCAUGCCGCGUGAGUGAAGAAGGCCUUCGGGUUGUAAAGCUCUUUCAGCCGGAAAGAAAACGCACGGGUUAAUAACCUGUGCGGAUGACGGUACCGGAAGAAGAAGCACCGGCUAACUACGUGCCAGCAGCCGCGGUAAUACGUAGGGUGCGAGCGUUAAUCGGAAUUACUGGGCGUAAAGCGUGCGCAGGCGGUUUGGUAAGACAGGCGUGAAAUCCCCGGGCUUAACCUGGGAACUGCGUUUGUGACUGCCAGGCUAGAGUACGGCAGAGGGGGGUGGAAUUCCACGUGUAGCAGUGAAAUGCGUAGAGAUGUGGAGGAACACCAAUGGCGAAGGCAGCCCCCUGGGUCGAUACUGACGCUCAUGCACGAAAGCGUGGGUAGCAAACAGGAUUAGAUACCCUGGUAGUCC
RNAcentral lists this ribosomal RNA (795 nucleotides) under uncultured bacterium. RNAcentral's name for it is "bacterial SSU rRNA". It matches the Rfam family "Bacterial small subunit ribosomal RNA", at positions 8 to 796 of the family's 1533-position model. The record is from RNAcentral.